RNAcentral lists this long non-coding RNA (325 nucleotides) under Cyanistes caeruleus (blue tit). RNAcentral's name for it is "lncRNA (ENSCCEG00000022740.1)". The record is from RNAcentral. Lineage: Eukaryota; Metazoa; Chordata; Aves; Passeriformes; Paridae.
GUUCGGUGUGAUUUUUGCCUCUUCUGGUUGGGAUUUCUCCUUGCACCGAGUAAAGGAACCUCAAUUUAACUCCUGAAUUUAAGUAUUCCAGUAAAAAAUACUCACCUUGAUUGUCAUGACAAGCAGAGAUACCACUACCAAGUUUUGAAUUCUCAGGCUAUGUAGAACUGCAACAAUUUUCCAGGUCAAGAAACUUUUCAUCCCUCUACCAACAUCCUUUCAUGGAUCUGUUCAGUUUAAUAUCCUUGCAGUUAUUCAACUUCAAGUAUGAUUUUCUUUCCUUCACUAAGUGAUGUGGAGUGGCUCAGUCAUUAUUCCCCAAGGU